GUAGGCUGUAAAGAUUAGAGAGUUUAUUAUGGGGCAGACUACACAGAGUUGAAAAGAAAUUACCUUCUCCAGAUCAUAAGAUGAAGAAAACUGCAAGAAUAUUACUCUCAAGCCUCUGAACAAGAAAAGCCAGCUGUUGGACGUGAUAACUUUGAGCCUGUCAGAGAGCUGAUGUUCUAAGGCAACUGGGUAGACUGAAUCCCAAAGUGAGAUCUUUAAAAAAAUGAUAAAAAGAAAGAGAUGGAUAAAGACAUACAGAUACCCAAAGGAUGCAGAGAGAAAAAGAUGGAACAAGAAUAUAUGUGAAAGACUACAAACAAUGGCAAGCACAGAAGAGCAAAAGAAAGAAAGAAAGGGUAACAGAGAAAGCAAUAGAGGAAGAAUAUGAAGCCAUGUUAAUCUGAAUGUGGGCUCUUUUAUACCAAGAAUCUACUCCAAGGCUGAAUAUUAGCUCACUUUUAAGAAUCAAAGUUGUGGAUUUCAUAGGAUCCAACCACACUCAGGAAGAUGAGAUCACACAAGGAUGUGGACAUAUGGAUGUGAGGAUCAUAGAGGCUACCAUAAGGGUUAAUCCACUACAAGUGUAUUUGUCAAGAAAAUUUGACCAGCCAUGUAAUUUCACUCCUUCCAGACAUACUUUGAUGUGAACAGGAAGUAUAAAAGAGCAGUGCAAAGAGUGGACUGUACCGGAUACUGUCAGAGACUUCCAAAUCAGAGAAUCUUUGAAUCCACCUAUGACCUAUAAGCCCCCACUUCAAGAUAUUCUACCUUUUUAGUCCAAACCAAUGCAUAACCUCCAUGUAUUGAUUUAUUGCUUGCCUGAGGACAAUGUAAGCUUUGAAUUUGGAACCCUUGGGAAAAACAGAAAAGGUGUCACACACUGUUUUGGGAAAAACUAUUUUUCUCAUGAAACCCCAAGAAUUAUAAGGGUACACAUUCCUCUCAC
This is a long non-coding RNA of Pan troglodytes (chimpanzee), 946 nucleotides long. RefSeq lists it as uncharacterized. NCBI's taxonomy places the organism in Eukaryota, Metazoa, Chordata, Mammalia, Primates, Hominidae. The transcript has 7 exons. The record is from RefSeq and is a predicted model, not a curated record.